RNAcentral lists this transfer RNA (74 nucleotides) under candidate division WWE3 bacterium RIFCSPLOWO2_02_FULL_53_10. Its description in RNAcentral is "tRNA-Cys". It matches the Rfam family "tRNA". Rfam says of the family: Transfer RNA (tRNA) molecules are approximately 80 nucleotides in length. Their secondary structure includes four short double-helical elements and three loops (D, anti-codon, and T loops). Lineage: Bacteria; candidate division WWE3. RNAcentral also lists the same sequence under 2 other names. The record is from RNAcentral.
GGUGCGAUGGCCGAACGGUUAGGCAGGCGCCUGCAGAGCGUCUCAAGGGGGUUCGACUCCCCCUCGCACCUCCA